CCUACGGGAGGCAGCAGUGGGGAAUAUUGCACAAUGGGGGAAACCCUGAUGCAGCGACGCCGCGUGAGUGAAGAAGCGUUUCGGCGCGUAAAGCCCUGUCAGCGGGGAAGAAACACGGUUCGCGAGAGCCGCGGACGGUACCCGACCAAGAAGCCCCGGCUAACUACGUGCCAGCAGCCGCGGUAAUACGUAGGGGGCAAGCGUUAUCCGGAUUCACUGGGUGUAAAGGGAGCGUAGGCGGUCCGUUAAGUCAGCGGUAAAAUUGCGGGGCUCAACCCCGUCGAGCCGUUGAAACUGGCAGAGUGGAGUUGGCGAGAAGUACGCGGAAUGCGCGGUGUAGCGGUGAAAUGCAUAGAUAUCGCGCAGAACUCCGAUUGCGAAGGCAGCGUACCGGCGCCAGACUGACGCUGAGGCACGAAAGCGUGGGGAUCGAACAGGAUUAGAUACCCGAGUAGUC
This 457-nucleotide ribosomal RNA is filed under the name uncultured bacterium. RNAcentral describes it as "partial 16S ribosomal RNA". It matches the Rfam family "Bacterial small subunit ribosomal RNA", at positions 338 to 795 of the family's 1533-position model. The record is from RNAcentral.